This 784-nucleotide long non-coding RNA is filed under the name Capra hircus (goat). Its description in RNAcentral is "lncRNA (ENSCHIG00000001034.1)". The record is from RNAcentral. Lineage: Eukaryota; Metazoa; Chordata; Mammalia; Artiodactyla; Bovidae.
AGUGACCCCAGGAGGUAUAACUGCAUCUCUGAUCUUGCCAGAGGUCCUAGUGUGAUGUAAGAGCAGACAGUCAGGCAGCUGUUUCCACUGCCAUGCAAUAGGCUGCUGCUGACGGCGUCCAUGGCUGCCACUCUGGAACUGUGCAGUGAUUGACAAAAACUUGGCAAAGACAGCAUUUGAGGAUGUACACUUUCCUUAAUGCCAAAGGCUAUUUAUCAUAAGGCAGGAAAUUAUACAAAAUGCUCCUGGAUUGAGGAACAGAUGGCUUUCCAGGUCAUCCUAAUGUCCCUGGGGACUUAGAGCUGAAGGACCCUGCGUGUCUUCCAGGGCUGGAUGAGUCAAUCUUCUCCUCUUGGCUCUGCCCCUUCACGAACUAUGCAGACAACUUCUCUCCUCCUGAGGGAAAUGAUUUGCCUUAGAAUUCACUACAUGCCAAGUUCUGUGCUAAGCAAGAAACCAGACCCUUGCCAUCUAGGAGGGAUCAGUCUGGCAGGAAGAGAAGGGCAUAAUUCAAACAGUCACAUGUAUGAGCUCAUAGUUACAGAUCCGGAGACACGAUCUGAAGGAAGGAAUGGGGAUUCUUGAGUGUGUGUAACAAAAGGAACCAAUCUGUUCUGGGGGUUGAGACUGGGAAGAGGUCUUCUGGUGGCAGAGUCCUGUUUGGAAUGCCAGAUAAGCUACAGCCCCCAAAAGGAGCUUGUGAGAAAUUGAAAUCACAGUUGGAUUUGAAGUGAUGAGAAGGAUAUUUAUAACCUAAUAAAUGACUUCUGUUUUUCAUCUCCUC